GCAGUCGAGCGAACAGAUAAGGAGCUUGCUCCUUUGACGUUAGCGGCGGACGGGUGAGUAACACGUGGAUAACCUACCUAUAAGACUGGGAUAACUUCGGGAAACCGGAGCUAAUACCGGAUAAGAUUUUGAACCGCAUGGUUCAAUAGUGAAAGACGGCCUUGCUGUCACUUAUAGAUGGAUCCGCGCCGUAUUAGCUAGUUGGUAAGGUAACGGCUUACCAAGGCAACGAUACGUAGCCGACCUGAGAGGGUGAUCGGCCACACUGGAACUGAGACACGGUCCAGACUCCUACGGGAGGCAGCAGUAGGGAAUCUUCCGCAAUGGGCGAAAGCCUGACGGAGCAACGCCGCGUGAGUGAUGAAGGUCUUCGGAUCGUAAAACUCUGUUAUCAGGGAAGAACAAACGUGUAAGUAACUGUGCACGUCUUGACGGUACCUGAUCAGAAAGCCACGGCUAACUACGUGCCAGCAGCCGCGGUAAUACGUAGGUGGCAAGCGUUAUCCGGAAUUAUUGGGCGUAAAGCGCGCGUAGGCGGUUUUUUAAGUCUGAUGUGAAAGCCCACGGCUCAACCGUGGAGGGUCAUUGGAAACUGGAAAACUUGAGUGCAUAAGAGGAAAGUGGAAUUCCAUGUGUAGCGGUGAAAUGCGCAGAGAUAUGGAGGAACACCAGUGGCGAAGGCGACUUUCUGGUCUGUAACUGACGCUGAUGUGCGAAAGCGUGGGGAUCAAACAGGAGUAGAUACCCUGGUAGUCCACGCCGUAAACGAUGAGUGCUAAGUGUUAGGGGGUUUCCGCCCCUUAGUGCUGCAGCUAACGCAUUAAGCA
Molecule: ribosomal RNA, 827 nt
Filed under: Staphylococcus pasteuri
Lineage: Bacteria; Bacillati; Bacillota; Bacilli; Caryophanales; Staphylococcaceae
Description: bacterial SSU rRNA
Rfam family: Bacterial small subunit ribosomal RNA
Source: RNAcentral